UAGAUAGCACGCGCGCUAUCCGCUUCGCUUAUUUCAUUUAGAAAUAAACUUAGCUAGAAAUGUGAAUCAACUAGGAUUCGAACUUGAGUCUCGGAUACCAACCACCGAGUUCUUUGCCACUUAAACUAUAUAUAUAUAUAUAUAUAGAGAGAGAGAGAGAGAGAGAGAGAGAGAGAGAGAGAGAGAGGUGAGCUUCGUGUCUGUGACCUUUUUUAACGCCGGAUCGUCUCAAAAUCUGUACAAUAUGAUUAAUAAUGUAUCUAUUUAAAUCUCAUUUAUUAACAUGUAUGGAUCUUAAGGCUAUCCGAUUGUUAAAAAAUUAUAAAUAUACAGAAACUCAAAGCUCUCUCUCUCUCUAUAUAUAUAUAUAUAAUUUCCAAAUGCAGACUUUGCUUGCGCUAUUUAAUUAUCAUGUCCUUGAAGUUUGUCGCUAUGUUGUUCUCGAUCGUCCGAUCUCAUCCCUCCCGGUCCCAGUUGGAACCUGCGAUCGAUCGUGAGGUGACCGUUAAAACGUUGCUCUUCAGCUACAGUGAUUAAUUGUUGUCUCCUAAUUAAUGAAACAGUCCAUUUCCAUCAGAAAAUUAAGGGGAGGAUUAAUCUAAAGGAUUAACUUAAGUAGUGUUAGGUAAAAAAUUACGAUUAAAAAAGGUUGUGUCAAAUCUUGUUUAUACUGUAGCGUACCAUGGAAUUCGAUCCGUUUGAUCUGGUGACUUAUUGUCUUUGAUUUAUUGGUUACAAAACCAUGAAAUUUUUUUGUAGGGCUACAGAAUAUUUUAUCCAUAAAGCCUUAUAAGUAGAUGGGAACCCGAACUAGUUAUAACUCAUUCAUACCGAUCGUCCCUAGAGCAAGUGGCAAAGGACUUGGCGGUUGGUAUCCGAGAUCCAAAUUCGAAUUCUAGUUGAUUUACAUUUUCAGCCAAAUUUAUUUCUAAAUAAAAUAAACGAAGCGGAUAGUGUGCUACCUAUUUCUCAAAAAAAAAAAAGAGAAAAGGUUAUAACUCAUACGUUGUACUUGGUCGCCGCUUCAGUCGCUGAUCGCCUAGCCACUUCUUUUUUUAUUUUUUUUUUCUACCAUCUUUUCAAUCCGUUUGUAUUAUUUAUCAAAUAACUCAAAAAUCAUGUUAAAGUAAGUGUAUAUAUAUAUAUAUAUAUAUAUAUAUAUAUAUAUAUNAUAUAUAUAUAUAUAUAUAUAUAUAUAUAUAUAUAUAUAUAUAUAUAUUAAUACAGAAGAUAAUGAAACUGAUGAUUUACAGUAGUGCAAGUAAUGACCCAGAGUUUUAUUUUCACUAAUUCGUGCUUAUUACAGAAUACGUAGCUCACUAUUAUUAAUAGCAUUAAUUGUGAAACAACCGUUAUACUUUAACCAUUUAAACCGUUAGAGAACGAUAUUUAUAUAAUUUUAUAUUUAACACUCUCCCUCACGUCUGGGCUCGAGAUUUUUUAGUCGGCCCAUGACGUGGGUUUGAAUUAAAUGGGAGAAAAUUAAUAUAUUAUGAGCCUGACAUGACUUGAAUUAAGGACCUCCUGUUAUGAUAUCAUGUGAAACAACCGUUAUACUCUAACAGUUUAAGCUGUUAGAGAACGAUAUUUAUUUAAUUUUAUAUUUAACGUUAAUUAAUCCCCAUUGCUCACAUAAUGGAGCAAGGAUCGGAGCAAGGGGAAUCAACCAUAAUACACAUAGGAGGUGGAUGUGAGCAAGGAGGCGGCGGCGGCGGUGGGGGCUCCUGCUUCGGCUUUGGCUUUGGAUCCGGCGGCGGCGGCGGCGGCUUCACCUCUGCUAGUGUGAGGAGUUGUAUACACCCUAAUUUCUUCUCCAACGACUUGAGCAGUCUGACCCAGUAAAUUCCAGUCCCAGUUAUCACCAGCUUAUCUCCCUCCACUCCCACGUUUUCAACACCUGCAAAUUUUAAGCUAAAAAAUUACGCAAUUUGGUUUGUGUCCUAAUAUUGAUUAAUUAUGGAAGCUUAUUUAAUUAAGCUUCUUUUUACAGUAAAAAAGCUCUAGACCGCAAACCACCGCGUACCUUUCAAAACUGCAAAGAACUAUUAUCUCACUACAAAAAACGUUACAUUUAAGGAUGCUCUUUUUUAUAUUUUACGAUGCUUAAUAUAUUCCAACGUCACUUUUGAAAGCGUCGGCAAAUGAAGAGUUGCCACGCAUAUAUCGACGCUUAUACCAAGCAUCGGUAAAAUAUAUUCUGAUGCUUUAUAGUGUCAGGAUUUUUUAAAUCCUGACGCUCUAAAGCGUCGGAAAAUUAAAAAUAUAUAAUAGUAAAAUUUAUCAUCAUUUAAUAAAUUGUUUGAUAUCAUAUGACGAUACUUUUUGAAGUGUCGGUAUUUUCUAUAUUGUAAAAACACUUAGAGACGCUUUCCCUAAGCGUCGUCUAAAAAGAGUCCUUAUAUUAAAUUUUUUUUUUGUAGUAUCUAGCUAUAUCGAGAAUAUAUAUACCUCCAUGCAAUGAUUAGUUCUUAAAAUGAAAUGUAACUUGAUAGAUAUAGUCAAUAACAUUUAAAGAGCCUUUAGUUUAGAGCAGGGCGAAAUGCAUAACUAGUCAGAGACCCAGUAUCUAAUUAAGUCGCGAAUGUAUAUAUACUUAUUGUCCAAACUUUGGCAUCAAAGUUCUCAAUAAAGCUCCUACAUGUAAUGUUUAUAUUUGGACACAUAUAUAUAUAUAUAUAGAGUUUGACUGGGCUACUAUCGGUAGUAAACUGUUCGGUUUAUUACCGAUUUGUUUUUGAUGAUAGAGCUUCCAAAUCGACGAUCGGCACCGUUGAACAUGAUCUAGACCAUUUAAAUUAUCUAGAAAUCAAUUUUCAUGAUUUUUUGACAUCACUAACUGAACGAUCAAAGGGUCACAAAAUCUAUAAUUUUAAUAGCAGAUAUGGUGCGGUUGCUCGUUUAACGGUAUAGAAGAGUUCAAAUCAAUUAAUUUUUUGUUAAAAAAUUCUUUAAACUAUUUAAAAUAAGAUCUAGACUCUAGAUCUCAAAUAUAAAAAUUGUAUCAUCAUUUUUUGAAGAAUAUUCAUUUCCAGCCAUUCAUUUUUCUGUUCACUUGAUGGACAAGAGAACAGUAUCGAAAAUGUGUGAAAUUUGAUUUCCAGAUAGUUUAAAUAGUUUAGAUCAUGUUUAACGGCCACUAUAGCACCC
Molecule: long non-coding RNA, 3147 nt
Filed under: Ananas comosus (pineapple)
Lineage: Eukaryota; Viridiplantae; Streptophyta; Magnoliopsida; Poales; Bromeliaceae
Description: long non-coding RNA (ACOM_LNC028724)
Source: RNAcentral